Long non-coding RNA from Pieris napi, 292 nucleotides. RefSeq lists it as uncharacterized. Lineage: Eukaryota; Metazoa; Arthropoda; Insecta; Lepidoptera; Pieridae. The transcript is spliced from 2 exons. The record is from RefSeq and is a predicted model, not a curated record.
AAACUCAAAAACCUCAGACAAAGAGGACUAGAAUUUUACAUAAAAAGCCGCGUUGUGCAGUACAAAAGUUAGAAGAGGCAUCUCAAAUAGUGGAAAGUGCCAAACUCCGCAACACGGUAGUGUUCCAGUGUUUCCAGGAAGAGCACGAAACAAAACAAAGGCAGGUGGCUGAAACACAUGAGCUCAAACAGAAGCAACUUGCCGAAGCUCACGAAAGGGCUAGACAGAAGCAUCUUCUAAGGCUCAAAUUGUUACAGCAGCAAUUAAAUAAAUAAUUAUAUACUUAUAAAAA